GGCUUUUUAGAGGGACUAUCGGCUAAAGCCGAUGGAAGUUUGAGGCAAUAACAGGUCUGUGAUGCCCUUAGAUGUUCUGGGCCGCACGCGCGCUACACUGACAGAGCCAGCGAGUCUACCACCUUUGCCGGAAGGCAUGGGUAAUCUUGUGAAACUCUGUCGUGAUGGGGAUAGAACAUUGCAAUUAUUGUUCUUCAACGAGGAAUACCUAGUAAGCGUGAUUCAUCAGAUCGCGUUGAUUACGUCCCUGCCCUU
RNAcentral lists this ribosomal RNA (255 nucleotides) under Chloropicon mariensis. RNAcentral's name for it is "partial Eukaryotic small subunit ribosomal RNA". It matches the Rfam family "Eukaryotic small subunit ribosomal RNA", at positions 1405 to 1660 of the family's 1831-position model. The record is from RNAcentral. Lineage: Eukaryota; Viridiplantae; Chlorophyta; Chloropicophyceae; Chloropicales; Chloropicaceae.